UGGGCCAGGAUUGAGCCUGGCAGGAUUCAAGCUUGGGAGUCGAAGAGGGAGUCUUGGGUGAUGAACCCUGCAUUUUGGGUUCCAGCGCUGAGCUGAAACCUUAAUGGCUCUUCGUUGGUGUAGAGGUUGACAGCGGAUCCGCUUACCACAAUAAUGAAGUGUCGCAACUUAGCCUUACCACCAGCCAUCAGAUGCCUCCUGCAUUUGCCUAUUGAGUGAAAGCCCUGAUGAAGACAAGCACCAACCUAAGAAACGAAGUUCUAGAUGGGAGUGAAAUCUUCAGUGGCUCUGUCCGCACAUGAGCCAAGAAUAUCAGGCUGGCGUUUGCUAUUCUGAUGUCAUGAUACUAAAAACCUAUGUUGCCUCCACUCUCAGUAAACCAACGUCCCAAGCCUGAAA
Molecule: long non-coding RNA, 399 nt
Organism: Suricata suricatta (meerkat)
Lineage: Eukaryota; Metazoa; Chordata; Mammalia; Carnivora; Herpestidae
Exons: 2
Source: RefSeq, a predicted model, not a curated record